This 300-nucleotide unclassified non-coding RNA is filed under the name uncultured fungus. Its description in RNAcentral is "sequence contains 5.8S rRNA gene, ITS2". The stretch from base 1 to 71 matches the Rfam family "5.8S ribosomal RNA", at positions 84 to 154 of the family's 154-position model. Lineage: Eukaryota; Fungi. The record is from RNAcentral.
GUGAGUCAUCGAAUCUUUGAACGCACAUUGCGCUCUCUGGUAUUCCGGGGAGCAUGCUCGUUUCAGAAUCAUUACAAUCUCGAAGACCAACUUGGCUUUUAGGGCCUUGAAACGUCUGUCGGAUGUGGAUUUCGUUUUUCCUGAUUUAUCAGGAAAAUGAUCUGAAAGUGAUUGCGUUUGCCUCCGAUCGUGGGAUUGGUCAUCAUCAAGUGCAACAGAUUUAGUUUGUUCACUCUUGAUCUGACGUGGUCUUCAAUACGAUUGGGACAAGGCUGGACGUUCUACAUUUUUUUACAGAGA